AAAAGUUUUCACUUGUAUCCCAUUUGGGGGGUAAAGAAGCAGGUUAGGGAAGAAGGGAAAGAAAACAUCUGCAGAGCACAGAAGAUGUAAAGUCCUGUGCCAGAUGGACCUCACCUGUCUGCGUGGAGCAUCUGCAGGUUUCCUCACCUGCAAAAUGGGAAAUCCAUAGUACCUAUUUCACAGGACAACUGUAGAAUCACAUGAGGAGCAGUGAAGGAAGAAAGCUGAAGCUGAGCAUCCAAAGAGGAGAACUAGCUAACAAAAGGCUGAAAAAACAUCUUACCCCUUACUUAUUAGCCUCAUUCUUCUUUGACUUUCUGGCAUUGGAAACUGCAAAAUAAAUCCAUGGUAC
This is a long non-coding RNA of Bubalus bubalis (water buffalo), 352 nucleotides long. RefSeq lists it as uncharacterized. The record is from RefSeq and is a predicted model, not a curated record. NCBI's taxonomy places the organism in Eukaryota, Metazoa, Chordata, Mammalia, Artiodactyla, Bovidae. The transcript is spliced from 3 exons.